AUAAAUUGUUCUGGCUUAUUGGUGCGUGCAUAAAAUUGCAGGACGAUGCUGAAGCUGAAAUGAGGAGGCUAAAGCUUGAGCUACAGAAAACGAUGGAAAUGUAUAGCACGGCCUGCAAAGAAGCAUUGACAGCAAAGCAAAAGGUUAACAGUCAUAUUCUAGAGAUAUAUUUUAGUACAAAUAUGCUUUAUUAUCUGUAAUGGAUAAAUUUUGUAUUAGCAUAUAUAUAUAUUGAUGAUAUCUAUGUACCCAGGCAGUGGAGCUGCAGCGUUGGCGGAUGGAGGAGGAGGCUCGAAUUGCUGAGGAAUCAGCGAUGGACUCUCCGGAUAGUGAGAAAACUAAGUCCAUGGAAGCCGUGGAGAGUUCGGAAGA
RNAcentral lists this long non-coding RNA (372 nucleotides) under Daucus carota (carrot). RNAcentral describes it as "long non-coding RNA (DCAR_LNC000251)". The record is from RNAcentral. Lineage: Eukaryota; Viridiplantae; Streptophyta; Magnoliopsida; Apiales; Apiaceae.